GAAAAAAAGCACAAAGACACAAUGAAAUGAACCUCAGAAAAGACGCCGCAGGAGCUAUUCAGAUCCAGCUCUUCAGCUGCUUCUGUGGCCCCGCCAGUCGGGAAAGCCACCUGCUAAUCUGCUCCCUGCCACGCCCACCCCUGGGCUUUUCCACAGACGUCCUCGCUGAGGUCUCUCCUAAGAAAAGGACCCGUGGUGUCCUUCUUAGAAGGAUGACUCCUGGAGUUUCAACCCUACGCUAAGAGAAGCUGACCAGAGAUUCUAUUACCACCCCUGCCUGCCGCUGCCCUCUUGGUUGCCAGAAGGGGGCACUGAGGAGCAGGGAGACAGCAAGGGGCCCAAUCCCAGCAUCAGGAAGUACCUUGAGAGCAUUCAUCUAAGCCCAGCUAAAAGCCAGCCCCUCCAGGAAGCCUUCCUGACACCUCUACUGCAGCCUCCUACAGCACUUAACCGGAGCCCCUGGAAGACACCACAAGCUGCACUUCCAGCCCACUGUCGUCAGCUCUUUCACGACAAAGACUGUGUCUUACAUCUCCUGGAACACUCCACCCCCAUGAAUGCAGAACAGUGCUGCAAACACAGGUGUCCAAAGGCACACACCCAGGAGUACCGGAGCAAAUGAUACGUGAUUUACUUUUUGAUCCACAUGCCUAAGUAGUGUUCUUAUCCACAUCCUCCAACGAUGGUGUUUGUCAGUGUGACACACAGCAGCACCUUCAGUGCCCUCUGGGCCCAUUUGAAAAGCUACGUUUUCCCAUCUAAAAGCUGCUUUAUAGAGAUCUGAAGGACUUUUAUGGCUGUCCAGUAAUGACAGAACUUUACA
Molecule: long non-coding RNA, 823 nt
Organism: Balaenoptera ricei (Rice's whale)
Lineage: Eukaryota; Metazoa; Chordata; Mammalia; Artiodactyla; Balaenopteridae
Exons: 3
Source: RefSeq, a predicted model, not a curated record